AAAAUAAAAUCCCUCAACCCAUAGUCCACAAAAUCACAAAGUCCACAAAUAAAAACCCAAAAACCCAAACCCACAAAGUCCACAAACAAAAACCCAAAAUCCACAAAGUCCACAAAGCCCACGAAUAAACAUCCAAAACCCAAAGUUCACAAAUAAAAAUCCAAAAUCCAAAAUCCAAAGUCUACAAAUAAAACCCAACCAAAUCUAUCAAACCUAUGUCACCCAAAUACCUCCAACCCAAACCAAAUUCAUGGGCUUCCCAAAUGGGCCCCUCACUAUGAAUUAAUUCUAUGAAUUAAUUUUUUGGGCUUUCCAAAUGUAUUCCCUAUCGCGAAUUAAUUCUAUGAAUUAGUUUCAGGGGUCCUCUUUGUCAUAAAUUAAUAUGAUGAACCAAUGGGCUCUCCAAAUGGCCCGCUAUCAUGAAUUAAUUUCAUCAAUUAAUACAAUGGACUUUACAAACGGGCUCCUAGCAUGAAUUAAUUUCAUGAAUCAGCUUCAUGAACAUCUCAAUUUCAAACGACCGAAAAGUCGCUAAACUAAACCCGAAUCCAAACGACCGAAAUGUCGCUAAACUAAACCCAUAUUCAAACGACCGAAAAGUCGUUAAACUAAACCCAUAUUCAAACGACCGAAAAGUCGUUAAACUAAAUCCAAAUUUCAAACGACCGAAAAGUCGUUAAACUAAACCCAAAUUCCUUGAACCAUGAACCAAAUCCAUACACCGAACCCAUGAACCAUAUCCAAGUUCAUGAACCAAAUCCAUACACCAAACCCAUGAACCAUAUCCAAGUCUAUGAACCAAAUCCAUACACCAAUUCCAUGAACCAUAUAAGUUCAUGAACCAAGUCCAUACACAAGUUCAUGAACCAAGUCCAUACAUCAAAUUCAUAAACCAUAUCCAAGUCUAUGAACCAAAUCCAUACACCAAUUCCAUGAACCAUAUAAGUUCAUGAACCAAGUCCAUACACAAGUCCAUGAACCAUAUAAGUUCAUGAACCAAGUCCAUACAUCAAAUUCAUGAACCAUAUCCAAAUUCAUGAACCAAAUCUCCUGAGCCAAUACUCAAAUCUCAUGAACCAAUACCUAAAUCUCAUCAUGAACCUUUUUUACUCUGGCACAUAUACCUAGAGUAAAAAUUAAAUAUCGAUUAUCCCUAAUACAUAUAUUUAGGGCCAUGUCAAUCGCCUUGGCACAUAUAACUAAGGCGAAACAUCUCCAAAUCGACAGAGUUCUAAGUCAUAUACUUAGAAUUCAGUCAAAUGAUAUCAAGUUUAUUCGAACUCUAACAUAUAUACUUAGAGUUCAUCCGACUAACCCUAACACAUAUACUUAGGGUCUAGUCAGCCUUUUGCUCUAGCACAUAUACCUAGAGUGGAAGUCAAGCCAUGCUCGACUAACCCUAACACAUAUACUUAGGGUCUAGUCAGCCUUUUGCUCUAGUACAUAUACCUAGAGUGGAAGUCAAACCGUGCUCGACUAGUCCUAACCCAUAUACUUAGGGUCUAGUUAGCCUUUCGCUCUAGCACAUAUACCUAGAGUGAAAUCCUUACCCGAUCGAGCUCUAAUACAUAUACUUAGAGUUCAAAUCCGACUACCCCUAAUACAUAUACUUAGGGCUUAGUCAGACCUUCAUUCUAGCACAUAUAACUAGAGUGAAACUCGGUUUAUCCUGAUACAUAUACUCGGGAAUUAGCCACUCUCCACUUUCGGGUAAUUCGACUCACCUCAAUACAUAUACUUGAGGUCUGGUCACAUCUCCACCUUGGAACAUACAACCAAGGUGAAUAUAAUCGGACUCUAAGACAUAUACUUAGAGCCAAUUAGACUCUAAUACAUAGAGUUUAAUAUCGACUAGAUCUUAACACAUAUACUUAGGAUCUAGUUCGACCCACCUCAAUACAUAUACUUGAGGUCUGGUCACAUCUCCAUCUUGGAACAUAUAACCAAGGUGGACAUAAUCGGACUCUAAGACAUAUACUUAGAGCCAAUUAGACUCUAAUACAUAGAGUCUAAUAUUGACUAGGUUUUAACACAUAUACUUAGGACCUAGUCAAUCUCAAAUCCGACUGAAUCCUAAUACAUACACUUAGGAUUCAAUUCAUGUACAGUGGGAGUAUGCCCCUGCUUAAGCCAUAUACACGGCAAAUCAUAUCAAUAAAAUUUUAUUUGCCUGUUUUGUCUCUUUUAUUAUCAGCAUUUAUAUUUGGUCUCUUAAUCGAGGGUUCCUUAACACCGAAAGUGUGGGGUAAUUAACAACAGAUUCUUGAGUCUGUUGGAAACCAUGAACCUAUAAUCCUGAUUUCAAAAUAAAACAUAAACAUAUUUUAUCUCUACCAUGAAUAACCACUCGCCCUAGAAACAACCUACGGCGGGGCCGGUUCGUUCGCGGCAGACAAUUUCAAUGUACUUUAAU
RNAcentral lists this long non-coding RNA (2413 nucleotides) under Ananas comosus (pineapple). Its description in RNAcentral is "long non-coding RNA (ACOM_LNC016643)". Lineage: Eukaryota; Viridiplantae; Streptophyta; Magnoliopsida; Poales; Bromeliaceae. The record is from RNAcentral.